Molecule: ribosomal RNA, 465 nt
Filed under: uncultured bacterium
Lineage: Bacteria
Description: partial 16S ribosomal RNA
Rfam family: Bacterial small subunit ribosomal RNA
Source: RNAcentral
GACGAACGCUGGCGGCGUGCUUAACACAUGCAAGUCGAACGGAAAGGCCCUGCUUGCGGGGUACUCGAGUGGCGAACGGGUGAGUAACACGUGGGUGAUCUGCCCUGCACUUCGGGAUAAGCCUGGGAAACUGGGUCUAAUACCGGAUAGGAGCCAUUUUUAGUGUGAUGGUUGGAAAGUUUUUUCGGUGUGGGAUGAGCUCGCGGCCUAUCAGCUUGUUGGUGGGGUAAUGGCCUACCAAGGCGGCGACGGGUAGCCGGCCUGAGAGGGUGGACGGCCAACAUGGGACUGAGAUAAGGCCCCGACUCCUACGGGGGGCAGCAGUGGGGAAUAUUGCACCAUGGGCGCAAGCCCGAUGCAGCGAAGCCGCGGGGGGGAUGACGGCCUUCGGGUUGGAAACUCCUUUCGCUAGGGAAGAAGCUUUUUGUGACGGUACCUAGAUAAGAAGCACCGGCUAACUACGUG